Dermacentor silvarum is the source of this 2287-nucleotide long non-coding RNA. RefSeq lists it as uncharacterized. The transcript is spliced from 3 exons. The record is from RefSeq and is a predicted model, not a curated record. NCBI's taxonomy places the organism in Eukaryota, Metazoa, Arthropoda, Arachnida, Ixodida, Ixodidae.
ACACACAAAGAUCUGAAAUGAGACUCCUCGCUGAUGCUGUACAGCAAAUUCCUGUAAAGAAACUAAAUCACAGAAAACCUGUUACAAUACAAAACUCAUCACAUACUGGCUUGAACAGAUUUGCACAUUGGGGAAGCAAGGUGCAACGUACACUGUUGUAGCAAAAUUUUACUCAUGUAUGAAAUACUGGUGAAUCAUGACACAACAGAGUUAAUUUGAGAGUUCUUACACAGUAUUGACAACCUACAGUGGAGUUUUGGAAGGCUUAGGAAAACAAAGUAGUAAAAGUAAACCGUGUACACUGUGCUGAGAAACAAUAGUGGCAGCCGAUUAGGGACCAGUGUAAUUUUUUUUUUUUUUUUUUUUUGUAAUGCUCGUUUGCUAAAUGCUAGGUAUUUUACCGUGAAGUGCUCCCUGGUCUUAACCCACAGACACUGCGAGGAUCAGAGAGGGUAAAGUACAUUGGCUUACACUGAUCAUAAUGAGGUCCCGGACGCCCAUCCGCCCAGCCAAUAGCGCGAAGCCGGAACUGAAUAUACAUCAGUCAAGUACUACCGCUUGUCGCACGGAACGAGCAAACGACUAGAUUUUGAUAUGUGCAAGGAUAUUAACGUAGUGCAAAACCUUUAGUAGUAUUUAUUCGGCUCUUUACGUUAAAACUAGAGUGUACUAAACUAUGACCGUAUUCUAGUACCCUCUAGCUAAAACACAUGAAUUUAAAUUAAUAAAGCACGCGUCACGCCAGUUUCGGCGAGUACUUGCUGCCCUCAUACCGGUAACACCGGGGAGACGUCGCUCGUCUCGUCGCUCGCAUACGACUUAUCGCGUGCAUGCGGUUUAUAUUUACAAGCUGCGCAUGCUACAGUGUAACGUACCCAUGCAAGAACAAAAGGACACAAGAUAGGGCGAGUACAGUCUGGCUCAUGAUUGUGAGCAGAGUGUCCUCGCUGAAUGCACUCCCUUCGGUUGUUUCAUGCUACGUUAACCACAAAGACUAUAAAACACGCAGAACCCGCAUAUAAAAAUAAAGCUGACAAAAACCAACAAGGCAGUAGAGCCCAACCUUCAAUGUUAACACCUAAAAAAAUUCGGACAUUGUUGACGAAAAACAGAGUGCAAAGUAUUUCACUUACCUGAAAUAGUGCUAUCCAACGUGCGACGUACAAAGGCGCAUCGAGAACGAAGGUAGCGAACGCAGAUCCCGCCAUUGUGGUAGUAAGCCGUCGGCGAAAAAACGCAAUACAGCCGAUGUCACAAAGCACACUGAUGCAAAACUUAGGGGCACACGCCGCGACGGCGGCCGAACUGACGAUGUCACACACACAUUUAACGCAGAAAAAACAUGGGAUAGAGUAAGACGAACCCGUCAUGGAGACAGCUCCUUAUAUAGGCGGGCGUAGUUGCAAACAGCGCCCCCUGGGUGCGGAUUAUGUGGGUUUCAAAACCGAAACCGCUACAUCACACAAAACACAAGGCAAACAGCGUCGGCACAGCUAGUUGAUAUCAAAUAAAUGUAUAGAACAGCUUAGAACAGCACACAACUAGCACAAUGUACGAACCUACGAACGAGACAUUGCUUGCGUACGCCAGCGACCGUUUUUGCAGCGACCGGCAGCGCAGGCUGGUUAAAGUUGUCAGGUACAUUGAUGACUAAUCCUUUUCGAACCAGACGUACAUUCAACAGUAGAUAUGCUCAUCUAAUUUUUUUCAGCAGGCAUUAGCCCACUUACUCUCGCGGUGAAAGAGCCGACUGAUAACAUGCUGCAUAGCUUAGAUAUUCAGCUCAAGUUCACUGAAUAACACACAUGCUGGGAGUAUAAACCGAGGGCCAAAAAUAGCCUCCGUUGCUGUACUGCUCCGCUCACUCGAAGCUCGUCAAAAGGAGCAUUGUCAACUUGUGUUUUGGAAAUGCAUUAAAGAAAUCCUGCCACAAUAAGAUCUAUGCAUGUCUUAUGGACCUGUCGGGAAGGCUAUCGAUCGGUUCAUGGAGUCAGGGCAGGUCUCGGUUGUAGACGGGCUGCUAAAAAGAUGCUGUUUAUACAAUAACACUUGGCAUGCAGCAAAUCAACGGACAGAAAACUGGAGGAAGGUAGCGGCAGUUCCUUAUCUGCAUAGAAUGGCUAUCUGUCGGAAAUGUGAAAUGUGUGUUAAUGCCCCUUCAGUCGACUUGUUAGAUAAGAAGACGGCCUUUUUGUAUGGCUGAAUCGAGAUGAUGUGGUGCCAUUGUGCAUGGGUUAAAUAGGCAGCUGUUUCAUGGAAGUAAAGUUGUUGAAGUUAGCACAUUGUG